RNAcentral lists this long non-coding RNA (1479 nucleotides) under Papio anubis (olive baboon). Its description in RNAcentral is "lncRNA (ENSPANG00000041045.1)". Lineage: Eukaryota; Metazoa; Chordata; Mammalia; Primates; Cercopithecidae. The record is from RNAcentral.
GUAGGAUUGGGGGUGAUGGUGGUAGAAGUUGGGGUGACUUAGGAUGUGUGUGGGCCAGUGUCCUUGGGAUGCUUAGAGGUUUGGCUGGUGCUGAAUAGGCAUGUGUGUGCUUAGCUGGUCCCACUGGGUGUUGUUGCUAUGUGGGCGGGGCUGUGUGGAAUGGACCCUGGUGCUUGACCGUUGUUGGUGGAGGAAUGGUCCCUGUGGCACUGGAGUGGAUGGAGGAGAAAUGCGACAUCUGUGUGUGUGGAGGUAGGGGGUGAUGACAGUGUGAGUAGUUGGAGUCUGGGGAGGUGGAUAAGGUGGAACAUAUGAGUGGAAAGAGAAGUGUGGUCUAGGGGUUGUGAUGUGGUUGGAUAGGUGGUGGUCGUCUUGAAGGAUGUUGCAGUGUGGGACCUGUGGAAGAGAUGGGGUUACUCCUGUAGCUGCAGAGGAGUGUGUGAAAUUGAAAGAAGGUGUAGGUGGCAUUUCUGGCUGCUGGUGCUGAGAAUUGGGUGUGGAGUACAGGGUGCAGUUAUUCUGGAGUGGGGUUGGGGGUGAUGGUGGUAAAAGUUGGAGUGACUACAGUAUGGAGUGUCGAAGAAGCAUGUGUGUGUCGGGAUGUAGAGGUUUUGGCUGUGCUGAAUGAGCUGUGGGCUUGGCUGGUCCCACUGGUGGUCCCUGUCAUUGGUGGGGCUGUGUGUGUGGACCCUGUAGCCUUGACUGUUGUUGAUGAAGGAAUGAUGUCUGUUGGUGUUGAGUGGAUGGAAGUGGAAGUGGACGUCUGUGAGUGUGUAGGGAUGAUGACAGUGUGAGUAGUUGGAGUCACCAAGGAGGUGGAGAAAGGUGGAACGUGAGUGGGAAGUGUGGUCUGAGGGUGUGAUGGGGUUGGAUAGGUAGUGGUGGUCUUGAAGGAUGUUGUAGUCAUAGGACCUGUGGUAGUGCCAGGACUAUUCCCUGAAUGUGGGGAAUGUGUGGUGAAGGGUGUGUGUGGCUCACUGAUAGUGGCCGAGGUGGUGUGGGCCACAGGGGUGCUGGUUCCUGCACUGGUGGAUUUGGGAGUAAUGUUGGUGGUUGAAGUUGGGGUAAUUUCAGGAUGGUGUGUGGAAGAAGCAUGUGAGUAGAAGGAUAUGGAGGUUUUGGCUGUGCUGAAUGAGCUCGGGGCUUUGCUGGUCCCACUGGUGGUCACUGUCAUCGAUGGGGCUGUGUGCAUGGACCCUGUGGUCGUGAGCGCUGUUGGUGGAGGAAUGGUGCCUGUUGGCGUUGAGUGGAUGGAGGCAGAAGUAGACAAAUGUACGUGGGUAGGGGUGGUGACUGUGUGAGUAGUUGGAGUCACCAAGGAGGUGGAGAAAGGUGGAAUGUGAGUGGGAAAUGUGGUCUGAGGGUGUGGUGGGGUUGGAUAGGUAGUGGUGGUCUGGAAGGAUGUGGCAGUGAUAGGACCUGUGGAAGAGACGGGACUACUCCCUGUAGGUGGGGAGUAUGUGGUGAAGUGGUGGUUUG